This is a long non-coding RNA of Ictalurus furcatus (blue catfish), 3857 nucleotides long. RefSeq lists it as uncharacterized. The transcript has 3 exons. Lineage: Eukaryota; Metazoa; Chordata; Actinopteri; Siluriformes; Ictaluridae. The record is from RefSeq and is a predicted model, not a curated record.
AGCUCAACCACAGUUUUGAGAAGUUUUCCCCUGACUUUAAGAAGAAUUGUACUUGACACCUGUGCCACAUUUCCGAACCAGUGAAUAUGGCUCCAUGAUUGCGGCUCAGUAGAGUGGAAAACUCAUGCAGCGAGGACAGAAGGGAAUUUUCCACAGAGUCCACUGCCUUUUAGAUCAAUACUUGUCUCCAGAGAUCUGUUGGCCUCCAACAAGAUGGGAAUCACUGAUCUUAUUGAGGAGGUGAGAGCAAAUGUGCACAGUUUGUGAAGAAAGUCUGAGCUGGACAGAUGAGGGCGAGUCUGGAUUUCUGUAAAGAGCAUUCCUAAUACCCUGCCAGAGGUCCUGCUAGUGGAGUGGAAAGCUGAAAUGUCCUACUGAGGUAAUUAAUGCUGUGUUAAUGCUAUGGUUGAGGAGCUUGACAAUCAGGGACAGCCGCCACCAGAUUGAGAGGAGCCAGUUGAGUUGGUUCAGGCACCUUGUUGUCUCCCAGUAGAGCUGUAUUAGGCACAUUCGUUUGGACAGAGACCCCGGUGCAGACCCAGGACCUGCUGGAGAGAUUAUAUCUCACAGUUGGUUUGGGAAUUAAGCUGGAAUCCGUGGCCAGGGACCGAAGUCUGGGCUUUCUCAGCCACUAUGACCCUCACCAGAAAAGUGGAAGAAAAACGUAUGAAUGAAUUUUCAUGAUUGUAUUGCCCUGGACAGAUGGCAUGUUCAUGUUGGCAGCCAUAGUGCUUCACUUCCAGAUUUGGCUGGAAAGCCUCAAAUACCCGCUCGGAGGCUGACACGAGCAUUUUUUUUGCCAGCUGUAAGGUGGUAAUUACAGUUACCCCACAUGACAUAAGUUCCAAAUCUUACAGCUGAAGAUUAGAGCCAGGUGUGCGAACUAAACUCUGGGAAUUUAUUGGACCCGUGAUGGUACAAAGCAUACGAUAUCAGAUCGUUCCACUAAUGUGAACGCUAACCAUCUGGAAACCGUAGCAGUGGAACAAACAGCUCAUUAAUUGGGAAUGAUUAUUUCAGGUGCAUCAUUUCAGGAUUUUAAUUUAGCUCCUGUCCAUUCGUCAGAGUAGGAAGAACAUGUCUGUCGCUCUUCUUUAUGGAGCUUGUUAAGCAUGACAGGAGGACCUCAGGGGCAACACCGUGCUUUUCCACCUCAGCGCAUCUAGGCCAGGACACUCAAACCGCAUCACAUUUACAUUUGACAGCUCGUCCUCAUCAGAAGUGUCCACCAUGACGCCCAGAGGGUGGACAACCAUCUCAGAGUCAAAAGUGCAUAGGUAACUACCAUUUUAAAGUCCCCAGAAGAAGACGUGAUCAAGCUAAUGUUCAGCUCUGCAUGGCGAAAUGGGACACAAAUUGUAUAAGAAUGCCAAAUGGUUUUUGGGUUGUUUUUUUUUCUCUUUUUUUAUUCGACCCAGGUGUUCUGGAGAAACUGUUCCCAUGGUAGAGUGUCGAGUAUGUUCAAUGUACAGAUGCGGAUUUGGAGAACGGUGUCCAGGGAACACUGUCAGUCGUGUACUUUCUGCGAAUGAAGAUGAAUUGAGUACUCCGACCUUAGUGGUGAAGAAGGAACUGCAGAAAAACGUCUUUCUGACGGGUACGACACGCUGAAACAGGAGACUCCUUCCAUAAAUACUAAAACAAGUCUUCUCACAUCACAAGAAAGCUUCUCCAUAUCAACGAUGACGUGUUUUUCUUUGUUAAAUAACAACACUUGUUUAAAAUCCAUUUUUUUUAGUGCUUGGGUUAUGAUGGAGCUGUCGUUACUGUUAUCAGAAAUGAAUCUGCACCCAGCCCUGCUUAUCAAUACCCAUCUUUGCAGGUGGUGCUUGUGUAGUUUACAAGACUUCAUCCAUCACCCUGAUGAGGCCUCGUUAACUCGAAUACUUCAGUCAACGCACAGAUUAUGCACAGCUUGAUGCACGUCCAUUUGACUGAAAAGCAUAUCUCUGGGCUAACUCUUCAUCCUGAACAGAAAGAAGAAGAUUCCCAAGCGUUAACGUAAGCAGCUUCAAGCUUUUGCCUAUUUCAGGAAUGUCUGCCAGGGAUCCCAUCCUGUCAGGCCAAAUAGCUCGGAACAUGUCACCUGUCACUCCGCAGUGCGACGCCACUGAUUCAGCACGAUGCUCAGCUUUCAAGGACGCCACCCUGCCAAAUCUGUUCGCGCUCACCUUGCACAGUAUGAGCAUCAUCAGUCUGAAUACAUCUGCUCCGCUCCUGACGUUUAUUUAAUCCAACAGAUCGCGUUUGCUAAUCCCAGGAAGGUGUUUGGAAUCCGUCCAGGUAACUCUGGGCAUUCGCUUCACUUCUUUACUCCACAGCUGGCAGAUCUGAUCCAAAACUACAACGUGAAAGGUCAGAGCUCAUUGUUUUGAAGAUGAUUUGCGUCGGGACGGGCCGUAAGAGCCGGGGCGACGACGGCAAUCAUCGUUUCGGACAUUUUUGACAUCUUUCUUCAAUUUAAAGAAAAGAGAAGGAUUUGUGGGGGUGGGUGAAAGUGCGUGACAUUUUCCCUGCAUACUAUUAAAAAAACAAAAAAAAACAUCCCAAGUCAUCACAAUAUAGACGGCCUGGUAUAUUGUUCAUGCUUAUUCAAUUAUAACAGACAUUUCUGUGGCUGUGGAACUAUUUUUUUUUUUUUUUCAUGGUAUCACUAUGACCUCUAGAAGGUACAGUCUUUACAUGUCUAAAUGCAGAUUAAUGGGCUGAGGAGUCAGAUGACCCAAAGAUGAGUCAGAAAUCCCAUGGAGAUUGACGGGCCUGCUGGGUUUUAGCACUAUUGGUCUAUUUCAGCACUGCUCAUUCCAAUGCAGAUGGGACAUUUUUGUAAACGAUGAUGUUCUUAGUGCUUGAGAGCAUAUAACAUUGAGUCAUAGUACAUAAUCUGAUCUAAAUUCCGCCAAAUCUAAAGUGCACCUAUUACGGUUUUUCAAAUAUGACCUUUCAUGUAGUGUGUUAUAUAUGUAGCUGUUUGCUAAUGUAAAAUCAUCUGCAAAGAUUCAAAAAUCAAAGCGCACAACAAACAAGAGUUAUCGGCUCCUAAAAGAAGGAAACGAUUCUGAACAGCUGAAUCGAGUCGUUAGUGAUUCCAGACUUUACUUCCUGUACAAACCUAAGUAGGUUUGUAACAAAAAGCCCCGCCUCUGGUCUUCAUCGGCUGCUCGCUGACAGCGGUAGACCAAUCAUGACAGACUGGGACAUCUGACCAAUCAGAGUAUGCUCUCUGGAAGGAGGAGUUUAGAAUGAAUCCUUUAGAAUGGAUCAUUGAACGAGUCGUUUGUGACACUGGGGGGAAAAAAGGUAACGCUGCAGUUUAAAUUAUGAGCAUGUUAUAAUGUUUUUUUUUUAUCUCGGAUGUGGGUAAAUCUAUUGUACGAGACCUUUAAAACAAAAUUAGGCACGUUUCAAAUCCAUAAUAGGUGCGCUUUAAAUUCCAGCAUUUUCACAUGUUCACAGAAUAAAGUUUUAUGGAUAUAUUCCGUAUACAUAUGUGAUAAUCAAAGAUUUACACUGAAGUUACACUGCAGAACGCCAUGGCAAGCAUGCUGUAUGUUACUGAGUUUACAUGAUAAACCUAAGAAUGACCAAGAUUUACCAUAAAGCCAGAACAUAAAUAUUGAUUAUACUUAGUACAACUGCAGAAUUUCUUCCUUAAGUACGUUUGAAGAAAUCCAAUUAAAAAACAAAAACGAAACAAAAGGUCAGAUGCAUGGGGCCAGUGUCUGAUGACCACUUCAACAACGUAGACGUCCGCUCCGUCAAAUCCAGGACCGAAUUAUUUUAUUUUAUUUUUUUUUUAUUGUUUUGUGACGUGACUAGUAGCAUUAUUUCAAAACGUGGCGUUUCUGCCUGUAGCC